Non-coding RNA from Camellia sinensis, 394 nucleotides. Lineage: Eukaryota; Viridiplantae; Streptophyta; Magnoliopsida; Ericales; Theaceae. The record is from RefSeq and is a predicted model, not a curated record.
UCAAAGCUCAAAAUUUCUCGGAUCGAAUCAAGCUACUGCGAAAUGUGGAAAAUUUGGAAAACGAAGUAUUAGAAGUGAGAGAAUUCUAGAAAUUUACACAAACUGAGAUUGUGCGAGACCUCCUUCGCGGUCAGCCCAACAAAAACGACUCUCUCUCUCUCUCUCUCUCUCUCACUCAUUGUCUUUUUCUGAGUUUACAACUACAAUGGCGUCGCCUUCCGAUCCCUCCAACCAGCAGACUGCUGCUAGGAAACAAAACAAAGGACCCCCUUUGAAAUUUAUGUUUCCCCUAAUUUAUGCUCCUGUUCUUCCUCUCAUUCGAAUUCAAUUGCGACAUAACCCUGUUUUGAGGGACCGUUUGUUCACUGUUGUGCUUGCUGGGGCAUUUGCUCGU